This 2046-nucleotide long non-coding RNA is filed under the name Homo sapiens (human). Its description in RNAcentral is "non-protein coding lnc-SH3D21-7:6". The record is from RNAcentral. Lineage: Eukaryota; Metazoa; Chordata; Mammalia; Primates; Hominidae.
AGAAGCAGCUAGAAGGGCUCAGUGGCAGCAGCACCAGCGGCCGUAGCCCCACUCCCUUGUCCCAGAGGUGUGAGUCAGGGUGUUUGCUGCUUAUGAUGUCUAACUCUUGGCUGUCUUUCCAGCUGUCCCCUGGGUCACUCUAUAUCCAUGUGUGGGCACACGUGUCUAAGCUUGUGUGCACUGCUGGGUUUUCCUAGGGUGUGUGGCCACUUGUGUGUAUGUGCAUUUGUCAUCUCCACAUAGGCAGUGCCAGGACACAAGAGCUGAUAUGAGUGAAGUCUGGCUGCCUCUACCUGUGUCCUUUGUCUCUGAAUGCCUGGUGCCCACUGAGCUGCUGAUAGGGCUGACUAACAAGAGUAAUCAGGACAGCUCCCACCGUUGUGCCACACUCUGCAUGGAGCACUUGAGACAGUAUUAGGUAGGAGGCUGUUUACAGCUGAGGAAGCCAGUGCUCAGAGAAGGAAAUUAAUGUGCCCAAACACACACAGCUAAUAAUGGCAGGGCUAGGAUUCAAAUCAAGUCUGAUGGAUUCCAAAAAACUUGGCUUUGAAUCCCUGCUGCAUCACUUACAAGCUGGGUGACUAUGUGCAAAUUGCCCAAUCUUCCCCUUCUGUCCAAACAGGGAUAACGCUUGGGGGAUCACUGUGAGGACUCGGAGUUAUAGAAACAGCUUUUUGCAAGACCCAGCGAGCACUCAUACUCAUCUCAGUUGAAGGGCUUCAAUGAGGAGACUCUCAGCUGAUUGAAAAUCCAGGAUUUUAACAAAGGAGAGGAGGAGGAACAGAAAGCUAGGAGGAGAAGAAGUAAUGAAUAGAAACCAAAGGUGCCAGCCAGAGGAAAUGAGAAACUGUCAUCAGGACACUACCAUGAGGAGAACGCUGGGACACACACACACACACACACACACACUCACACUCACGCUGACAUACUCUUGCUGGCUCUCCAACUCUAGGCUUACGGCAGACGGUGCUGCCAUAACAAAGUGACGCCUGUCACAACAGCAUGAGAUGGUGGCUUGACAAGGUAUAGGCAGAUCUGCCUAUCACAGAAGGAGGGAAAGAGACCUUCAACCCCCAGGGGCUUCCUCAGGCUUCUGAACCCUCGUCUCCAUUACUGGUUGGCUCUGGCUUCUCUUUGUCACCAAAUCGCAAGGCCUAAAUCUGGCAAAUUUUGAGUGUCAGACCUACACCCUGUGGCUAGGUACCACCACUGUGGUGAACAAAGGCACCUCUUAUACUCUGUCAUCAGUAUGAUGCCAAGAGUGCUGGGAAACAGAAUAGCACAGCAGUUAAGAUCAUUGAGUUGGAGUCACACAGACCUGAGUUCAAAUCCCCAUUCUGUUGUUCACCUUGAGCAGGCCACAUAACUUCCUUGAGCCGGUUUGCUCAAAUGUAAAAUGGUGCUAUUAAUAUAUGGGGUUUUUAUAAUGAUAUAAUAAGAUUACUUUCAGGGCUGGGCGCAGUGGCUCACUCCUGUAAUCCCAGCACUUUGGGAGGCCGAGGUGGGUGGAUUGUCUGAGGUCAGGAGUUCGAGACCAGCCUGGCUAACAUGGCAAAACCCCGUCUCUACUGAAAAUACAAAAAUUAGCUGGACGUGGUGGCUGGUGCCUGUAAUCCCAGCUACUUGAGAGGCUGAGCAGGGGGAAUCACUUGAACCUGGGAGGCAGAGGUCGCAGUGAGCCAAGAUCGCACCAUUGCACUCCAGCUCAGGCAACAAGAGUGAAACCCCAUGUCAAAAAAAAAAAAAAAAGGAUUAUUUUCAUUCCACAAGAUUGAUGGAGUGCCCACUAUGUGCAGAGCACUGAGCUAGAUGCUGGAGAUUCGGCAUAACCAGACAACAGCUCUGCCCUUGUGGAGCAUCAGAGCACCCAGCACAGGGCAAGUAGUAAAAUUCAACAAAGAGUAGCUAUUUUUCAUUUAUUUUAUUUUAGAGACGGGGUCUUGCUGUUGCCUAGGCUGGAGUGCAGUGGCACAAUCACAGCUCACUGCACCCUCAAACUCCCAGGCUCAAGAGAUCCUCCCACCUCAGCCUCCUGAGUAGCUGGGA